UGGGGAAUAUUGCGCAAUGGGCGGAAGCCUGACGCAGCGACGCCGCGUGGGGGAUGACGGCCUUCGGGUUGUAAACCUCUUUCAGCAGGGACGAAGUUGACGUGUACCUGCAGAAGAAGCGCCGGCUAACUACGUGCCAGCAGCCGCGGUAAUACGUAGGGCGCAAGCGUUGUCCGGAAUUAUUGGGCGUAAAGAGCUCGUAGGUGGCUGGUCGCGUCUGCCGUGAAAGCCCGCAGCUUAACUGCGGGUCUGCGGUGGAUACGGGCCGGCCAGAGGUAGGUAGGGGCAAGUGGAAUUCCUGGUGUAGCGGUGAAAUGCGCAGAUAUCAGGAGGAACACCGGUGGCGAAGGCGGCUUGCUGGGCCUUACCUGACGCUGAGGAGCGAAAGCGUGGGGAGCGAACAGGAUUAGAUACCCUGGUAGUCCACGCUGUAAACGUUGGGCGCUAGGUGUGGGGAUCUUCCACGAUCUCCGUGCCGGAGCUAACGCAUUAAGCGCCCCGCCUGGGGAGUACGGCCGCAAGGCUAA
RNAcentral lists this ribosomal RNA (527 nucleotides) under uncultured Nonomuraea sp. Its description in RNAcentral is "bacterial SSU rRNA". It matches the Rfam family "Bacterial small subunit ribosomal RNA", at positions 355 to 897 of the family's 1533-position model. The record is from RNAcentral. Lineage: Bacteria; Bacillati; Actinomycetota; Actinomycetes; Streptosporangiales; Streptosporangiaceae.